This 183-nucleotide non-coding RNA is filed under the name Thalassotalea sp. HSM 43. Its description in RNAcentral is "6S / SsrS RNA". It matches the Rfam family "6S / SsrS RNA". From Rfam's summary of the family: E. coli 6S RNA was the first non coding RNA to be sequenced, but its function was unknown until recently. It consists of 184 nucleotides that fold into an extended hairpin structure with a large single-stranded internal bulge. The record is from Rfam by way of RNAcentral. Lineage: Bacteria; Pseudomonadati; Pseudomonadota; Gammaproteobacteria; Alteromonadales; Colwelliaceae. RNAcentral also lists the same sequence under 1 other name.
UGUUCCCUGGGGUGUUGGUUAAUUCAACUAUGUCCCUGAGCCGAUAAUUCUUACCUAAGGGGGCCCCGUACUUGCUAUUGAGCAUGCCCAUUUCGAUUGGGAAGCCUACGGUGAAUACACGGUCUCCGCCUUGAGCACACGGUGUUCAAGGGCUGACGUUGGAAACGGCAUCUUGGGGAGCUU